GGCAGUCUGAUCGUGUCUUCCUCCAUCCUGAUCGCUCGAGGCACUGGGACAUGUAGUGGUGACGAGGAAGUGUAAUUUGGUACUGGGCUGGCUGGAGGUGUGUACGAAAUUCUCUCUUGCUUGAUGCAGCACUGGGCAGCAGGCUCAGACAUCUCUCAGGAGGAGCUCCGCGCAGCCCAGCGGGCGGCCGGGAACUUCUGGGGCUCUUCCCACCUCCCGCUCCCCGCCGGCCCCUCAGGAGGAAGUUGCGGCCGCCACCGCGGCCCGCGGAGCUGCCCGGGGUCCCCUCCCCGCCGCCGCGCUCCGGGGGGCGCUCGGAAGCUGCCGCCCCCCGCCGCGCGUGGCCGUGUGCGCGCGUGUGCGGGACCGCGCGUGUGUGAGCGCGCGUGUGCGCGGGGCAGAGGGGGGAGCGCGAGGCGGGGGGAGGGAGGGAGAGGGCGGGCGCUGCCGCCGCGGCCCCCGCUGCCCACCAGUGUUUUCCUUCCUGGAAGAGAAACCGAAAGGCGGCGCGGGCCCGGCCGGCCGUGCCCCGCCCAUGGAGCCGGAGUUUCGGGGGCCCGAAAGUGACGUGAGUUCCCGGCAGCCGGCCCCGCCCCUUAAAGGUGCCGCUGCGGCGCGAAACGGCCGCGAUCGGCCGCCGCCCGCGUGCGCCCUGGCGCUGAAGGAGAGCCGAGAGGAAGGGGUCCGGGCGGGCGCGGCCCGGCUGGGGCCGGCGUGCUGCGUUCGGCACCGAUCCGCCGGGGGGAGGCGGCGCGGGAGGGCCGUUGAGACGCGCCAGCGUGGGCGGAGAACCCAGCGAACGGGUGGAAGGCGCUGAGGGAGGCGGUGAGCGGAGCGGCGACGACAACAAUGGCCUUUGUUCCGCAGGCGGGGCGGCCCCUUUAAGAGCGCAGACCUGGAAGUGGCACGGGAAGUCCGGGCAGGGCGCAGCGGUGGCUCUGCGCGGCCUUACAGUAGGCGGCGGAGGCGACAAGGAGCCCCGAGUAGGAGUGCGGCAGUGGGGGGGUGGCGGUGUUCGCAGCACCACACACACAUACACACUAUGGAGAAGGGAGCUCCGCGCUUCGCAAAGCGUGGCACGGCGCCCAGUGGUCAGCACCGCGCCUUCUCCCAGCCUGGCGUGCUGGGGACGCGGUGUCUGCCAACGCGUGUGGCGCGGCCGCAGUGUGGAAGCGCCGGGCUCUGUUUUGCCGAUAGGGUCCCACACGUCGGGGUCCGGCGGGGCUUCCCGCAGCACAUCGGGCGGACACGUCGGGUCACGGGGCAGUGCGUGCGUGUUGCAGAGCGGCACGGCGCUAACGCAGGCGGGCGCGUACAGUUGGCCGAGCAAAGUGCUGCGCGCAGAAAGUGAAAUAGAGCUGUGCCGCGUUUGUUGGUAACUUCCACGGGAAUGUCGGGUGUGAUCUGCGGCCGAACGUCAGAGACGGGUAGCGUGGGGUGGGUUGCGUUUCCUUGUUUUGGAGACGGGUCACUUUGGAAUAGGAGGCUUGUGCUCGCAGCGGGUGGGCACCGAGAGCGCUGCUGGUUUUGGGAACGGUAAAACCUCUCGUUUCCUCGCCUUGGUGCAGUGUGUUACAGAGUUGUCUGGAGAGGGAUACAUCCACGGCAGGAGGGAGCCAAGGCCGUGUACCGGAGUCUUGAAAUUACUGACUGCUGACUUUUCAUUACCCUUAAAAUAGACCCUUUACAUUACAUACAGUGUGUGGGGGGCCGCGCAUGAGGUCAUACCCCCCCCCAACCCCCCUUGUUCCUGCUGUUUGCAUGGAUAUCUCCUGCUCUUCAGUCCCAGCCUUCAUCACAAGAUGUGGUGAGAAAGGCACCUGCUCUCCCAGGACGGGAGGCUGCUAGGAUCUGCCGGUAGGCAUCCUGGGGCAGGCUGCCACAGGCCAUUUUGCAAACCAGGACCAAAUAACUCCCUGUGCUCUCUUGCAGCUUGUUACAGCUUCGUUUUAAGCAGUCCGGGAAACUAAAGAAGAAAGAGGAAGGGAAAAUAAUAUUCCCUCUCAGCUUAGCAACUGAUGACUUUUUAAUAUAGGGCCAACUCAAUAACAAAGAAAGCUUAUCUACUCUGCUUCACUCUACGGGACUGCGCUGCUGGAGAAGAGUCAUUGCAUCUUGAUUGCUUUUAUGGUGCAGCUCUCUCUGCUAUUAUUCUCUCUGCUUCAUCAUUGUAUGACAUUUUCCCUUUCUUCCUGCAUGAUUACCUCUGGCUUUCCCCAAGUGCUGAGUCAUUAUUCUGUACCUCACAGCAAAGGAGCUUUGUGAUUCCUUAUGUUAAAUGUAGAAAUAAGAGAUGGAAAGAACCUGUUAGGUCAUCCACUCCACAUCCCCACUGGUAGAGUAUUUACAGCACACAAUCGAUCCAUCCAUGUUAGUUUUAAGUUACUUAGGUAAUGGGGCUUCCACCUCUUCCUUUUGGAGUCUGUUUCGUGGACUAACAGCUCCCAUGGUUGGGAAAAUAUUUGGUCCAUAUCUUCAUUUGUCCAGUUUCACCCAAUUACUCCUGGUUAUAACUGUGUAUUUUACUACCCUUUUUUUUUUUUUUUUUUCUCUUUUAUGGCUCUCUGUGCUUUUCACCCAGGUAUCACUUCUUUUCCUAGCCAUUGACAUUUGUUCUUUUUAUCUCCUUGUUUUAUCAGUUCCUGCAGCCACUUUGUCACUGUCAUUGGUCUUUAAUUCUCACCCAUCUCCCCGGCUGCUUUUAGAAACAGGUAACUUCCCCAGUCUUUUGUGAAUGUAGCCAAUGCUCCAUAAUGGUUUAGUCUGUCUGCAAGUUGCCUCACCAGCUUCAAAAUUUGUCAUCUGCCACCACCAUGAAUCAGUGUUAUGGACCCUCUUACUCUUCAAUGUUUCCUCUUGCAAUAUAAUUGUAAUCUCAUAUUCUCCAUGACAGCUAUGGUGAAGCUGUGUGUCCUGGGUCUAAUUUUUUUCUACCCGUGGUUUUGAUAUUCGCACGUCCACUCCUUCUGGGUUCUCUGGUAUCUAUGCAAAUCUUCAUCCAUUUUGGUUCCUCUCAUUAGUUGCAAUCUCCUGAGACCUCAGACUACAUGGUCCUGGCCACUGUGCUGUACAGGAGACAGGAAAUGCUACCACGUCUCCUGGUGAGCAGCAUGGUCUGUGGCUGCACACAGUUGCUCUGGAGAUGUGAGGAGAAAGCUUCUCCAGCUGUCAGCUUCCCUUUAGAUCUGUUCUGUAUGGACUUUGUCCAGAGCAGAAUGGAAGUGCAUUAGCUAAUAUUAAACCUGGAAUGGGCUCCCAGCUAGUUUCUUUCCCUCUCACCAAGAGUCUACUGCUCAGCUUAUCUACAGGGAGGAUCCUGUUGUUCAAAGCAAGAUUUAUGAUCUCACAGAGCCACCUUUCAUAGAUGCGCAUGCCAGAAAUCCCCAAACUUUUUGCUCAAAUAGGUGGUAGCAAUACUAAUUCAGGCAAAAAGUAAUCCUAUUCUAGCCUGUAAAGUGACACCAAGUUCCUGCCUUUAUUAGCGCUGUCAUGGGAGAGGGAGACUGUGGUGUUGGAAGGCAAGAGCAGGAUGAGAAAACUGUGAACUGAAGAAUGAUCUUUUUGCUUGUAGUGGCCUGAAAAUCUGGCAUUGGGUGCUCAUACUUUCUAGUCUAGAGUUUGUCCCUGAAAACAGAGCAAGCCCCUGCUUGUAGUAGGUGACUCCCUAUUUAAAGGCGCUGAGGCUCACUCCCCUCUGCUUGCCUGACAUGGCCAUCUGGAGAGGCCUCCUGCUUCCCAGGAGCCAAGAUCUGAGACAUUGCCAAGAGAGUGCCACAGCUUGUCAAGAGCAUGGAACUACUAUUUGCUACUGCUCUUUCAUGUGGGCAUGAAUGACAAUGGAAACUGGAACAUAGGCAGAAUCAAAAAGACUAUAAAGCCCUGGGAGCACAAGUGAAGAACACUAGUGCCCAAGUUAACUUCUCUUCAGUUUUACCAGUUGGAGGAGAGAGGGCAGCCAAAAAUAGAGUUAUAAUGCAUGUCAACUCCUGGAUAUGUGGUUGGCACAUGAAGUUUUUGUUUCUUAUGACAGUGGGACUUUCUAUGAAGAUUAUAACCUUUUAGGGAAAGGGUGGGAUCCACCUGCCUAGAAGAGGCAGGACCACCUUUGGCAGCAGGCUGGUUAACAUAGUAAGGUGAGCUUUAAACUGAAUGACUUUGGGAGUGCGAUCAAAAAUGCAAUUCUCAUGGCACACUCACAACUGGAGAAUGAGCCAAGCCAAUCAGAACUGUGAUAAAUGUUCCUUAGCUACCUCCCAUGACAUGAGCCUGAAGAACAGUCACUUCAACAGUGUGUAUAGCUAUGGGGAAUACUCCUGCAUUCCUCUAGGGAUACCUGCAUUCUCAGCUCCCUUUUCUUCUCUGAAGUGACUAUGUACCAAUGUGCACAGUGUGGCAAAUAAGUAGGAAAAAGUAGAGAGCAGUUGCAGGACCUUGAUUUCGUUGUGAUCACAGAGACAUGGUAGGACAGCUUGCAUGACUGCAAUGCUAUCCUAGAUGGCUAUGUACUUUUUAAGAAAGACAAGGCCAGUAAGACAAGAUAGUGGAACUGCUCUUUGUGUGAGAGAACAACUGGAAGGUAUUGAGCUCUGCCAGGAGAUGAAUGAUGAACCACUGGAAAGCUUAUGGGUGAGGAUUAAGGGGCAGGCUAAUAUGACACUGCUGUGGAUGUUUAGUUCAGACCACCUGAUCAAGAGGAGGAAGUUGGUGAGGCCUUCUGCAGACAGAUGAAAGUAGCAAUUUGCAAUCCUGGGCUUCAGGAGAGCCAACUAUGACCUCUUCAAGGACCUAUGUGGAGGUAUGCCAUGGGUUAGAGCACUGGAAGGUAAGGGAGCCCAAGAGAGUUGGUUGACAUUCUAGCACCAGUUCUUCCAAGCUGAAGAUCAGUGCAUCCCUAAGAAUUAGAAAUCAAGCAAAGGUGGCAGGGACACAUAUGGAUGAGCAAGGAGCUCAUGGAAAAAUUCCAGUGGAAGCAGAUAGUCUAUGGAAUGUAGAAGGGGGGUCUGGUCAGUUGGAAGGAGUGUAGGAACAUUGUCAGGGCAUGCAGGAUUGCAGUGAGGAAGGCUAAAGCCCACUUGGUAUUAAAUCUGGUGAGGGAGAUCAAGGACAAAAAGAAAGACUUCUUUAAGUAUGUCAGUAGCAAAAGGAAGACUAGGGAAAAUGUGGGUCCCCUGCUGAAUGAGACAGAUGCCGCACUAACAGAGGACACUGAACAGGCAGUUACUGAAUGCUUUUUUUGCUGCAGUCUUUACUGCUAAUGCUGCCCCUCAGAAAUCCCAGACCAUGGAGGUAAUAGAGAGAGAGUCUGGGGAAAGGAAAACUUCCCCUGUUUGUGGAGGUUCUGGUCAGAAAUCAUCUAGGCAGACUCAACACACACAAAUCUAUGGGCCCUGAUAGAAUGCACCCAUGAGUGCUGCGGGAGCUGGAGAAGUGAUUGGCAAACCACUCUCGAUUAUCAUCUUUGAAAAGUCAUGGAGAAUGAGAGAGGUGCCUGAGGACUGGAGGAAAGCCGGUGUAACUGCAGUCUUCAAAAAGGGCAAGAAAGAGGAGCUGGGAAAAUACUGGCCAGUCAGACUCACCUCCAUGCCUGGGAAGGUGAUGGAACAGGUUGUUCUGAAUGUCAUUUCCAAACAAGUGGAAGAAAAGAAGGUUAUCAGGAGUAGUCAACAUGGAUUCUCCAAGGGGAAAUCAUGCUUGACCAAUCUGAUAGUCUGUGAUGUCAUGACCAGCUGGGUAGAUCAGGGGAGAGCAGUGGACGUUGUCUACUUUGGCUUCAGCAAGGCUUUUGACAAUCUUUCAUAACAUCCUUGUAGGUAAGAUUAGAAAGUGUGGGAUAGACAAAUGGACUGUGAGAUGGAUUGAAAAUUCUCUGACUGGCAGAGCUCAGUGGGUUGUGGUCAGUGGCAUGUGAAGUCUAGUUUGAGGCCUGUGGCUAGCAAUGUUAUCCAGGAAUUGAUACUGGAUCCAAACUUGUUUAACAUUUUAGUCAAUGACCUGGGUGAAGGGAUAGAGUUGCACUCAGCAAGUUUGCUGAUGAUAUGAAGCUGAGAGGAGUGGUUGACAUACCAGAAGGCCGUGCUGCCAUUCAGCGAGACCUGGACAGGCUAGAGAAUUAGGCGGAGAGAAACCUAAUGAGGUUCCACAAGGCAAGUGUAGAGUCCUACAUCUAAGGAGGAAUAACCACACUCAUCUGGUACGGUUUAGGGGCUGAUCUGCUGGAAGGGAGCUCUGCAGUGAAGGACCUGGGUGUCCUGGUGGACAACAGGUUGACCAUAAGCCAGCAAUAUGCCCUUGUGGCUAAGAAUGACAAUGAUAUCCUGGAGUGCCUAAAAUAGAACAUGGCCAGCAGGUCAAGGGAGGUGACCAUCCCCUUCUACUCUGCCUUGAUGAGGCUACAUCUGGAGUACUGUCUCCAAUUCUGGGUUCCUUAGUUCAAGAAAAAUGAGAAGUUUCUAGAGAGAGUCCAUCAGAGGCCCACAAAGAUUAUUAGGGGCCUGGAACAUCUCCUGUAUGAGGAACAGCUGAGAGACCUGGGACUGGUUCAACCUGGAGAAGACUGUGGGGGGAUCUUACCAACAUUUACAAAUAUCUAAUGGGAGGGAGUCAAGUGGAUGAGGUCAGGCUCUUUUCAGUGCUGUACAGUGACAGGCCAAGAGGCAAUGGACACAAGCCAGAACAUAAAAGUUCCAUACACGCGAGGAAAAACUUAACUUUGAGGGUGACUGAGCACUGAACAAGCCGCCCUGAGAAGUUGUGGAGUCUCCUCUGGAGAUAUUCAAAACCUGCCUGGGUGCUUUCCUCUGUAACUUGCUCUAGGGAGCCAGCUUUAGCAAGAGUGUUGGAAUAGAUGAUCUCCAGAGGUCCCUUCUGACCCCUAUGGCUCUGUGAUUCUUUGAAAAGGAGGCUAACUAACCUUUCAAUGAGACUUUUAAUUUUCAGUGUGCAGCGAUGUGUCUGCACGCCAGCUGCCACCAGUUCUCCCUCUGUCACCAGCUCUCUUUCUGCCGUCACUUAUUCAACUGCUGGGCUAAUUUUCUCAGAUCUCCCUGAAGGAUGGAACCUGUUUAUCAAAGGAAUUUACACAUUUCAGAAGCUACAUCCAGGGUUUUCAUUUGUCCCUUUGUGUACUGUUUUUCCAGUUUCAGCAGUGUAGAGCAGUAGUUCAGACACAUGCAACAAUCACGGAUUUCACCUCACUUCUGAAUAAAGUUUGUGUUCAUGCUUUUUAUAUCUACGGAGGCAGUCACUAGUUCUAAGUGCCCAUAGUUAUCAUUAGCUCAUUCUACUGUUUCUCUGCUGAUAGCUUUUCUUUGCUUUUAUCUUUGCCCAGCAAAACUUAACUCAUUCAUUUAUUUAGUUCUUGCUUCUUUCUUCUUUUUGUGAUACUAGUUUCAUUUUCACCUUCUAAAGUUCAAGCAGACACAAAUAGUCACUUGAUGGUUUUUUUUCUCCUUUAAAUUUCCUGGAUGGAAAGAGGUGUACUGUUCCUCCAGUACACACUUUGCUAAGGCACAUCACAUUUGGGUCUCCUUUUGUCCCUUACCUCUGAAGAUCCUGACCCUAUAGCUCAGUCUACUGACAUUACUGUGUAAUCUCAACAGAGGUUACUCUUAGAGAUUCAGGCACAGCAUCAAGUUCUUAAGGAACAAAACACAGUUGGAGAUGGUAGUAAAUUCCAAGAAUGUGAAAGCAAUUAAGACGAACAUCGAUGUUAGAAUGCAGGGGAGGUUUUGAUCUGGAGGAAAAAACAGGAAAUCCAUGCAAGUUGGUACACAGAUGUGCUCUGAUAGGGAUCCCCCAUUGCACGUUUAGCACUAAGAUUCUUUUGUCCUUAGCAAAUUGAUUUCUGAAACUGAAGUGUGUUUUAAUGACCCUGGUAUGCAUCAGUCACAUCACUUUUCGUCAUUUGCAGUAAGAUUAGCUUUCAGUUCAUAAUCCCAGGGAAAUCCUUUUCCCAAGGUUCACUCAGGCUAAUGUUUCCUGUAGUAGAAGUCUCAUGCUUGGCUUUUCAGGAAUACAUAAAUACAUAUAUACAUAGGACAUUUUGAAUUAAUGCCACCUAUUUAUCUCCAUGGAAACUGCAACAGAUACAAAACACAAUAAUGCUAUUCGACAGAACUAGUUCUAAGCUACAAAACACCAUUUUUCAACAGUCACCACCAUUAGCUGAUUUGUGUGGAUGAGCUCAUCAAGAUGUUCCUCAUUUUGCAGUGUGACAGGCAGCUGUGCAUGGAUGUCUAGAACAUCACUUGUCUUUUCACAUCACUGUCAUCACUGCUGAGGUGCACCACUCACCCCCUUACUGUGCUCACAUCCACUGUUUGGUCUCUAUAAAUGCUCAGCAAGCAUUGAUGAAGAUCAGUGGGUGCCAUUUUUUCUGUUUGGAGGAAUCCAGUGACACACCUUUGCUUCAUACACCACUCCCAUGUCAGACACCAUUUUGUCAAACUGCCCCUCUGCUGCCAUCUGUCACACAGCGACAAAAUAUAAUGGAAUACUGUCAGGAAGGUUUAACCUCUACUGCCAUCUCACCAACAUCUUCCUCUGGUGUCAUGGACUGACAUAAUAAAAGAGGAGGCAAUACUUUUAGAGCAGCCCUCAUGUAUGUAAUUUGUAUAGAAAUAUAUUUUUAUGUAUUUUAGUAGAAAUAUAAAAUACAUUUUCUUACUUACAUACAUUAACUAUAUUAUGUGUUUUGUGAGAGCUGCUCUGAAAGUAAUGCCUCCUAUUUUAUGAUGUCCCAUGACAUCAGAGGCAGAUAUUGGUGAGACGGCAGUAGAGGUUUAACUUCCCCAACAAUGUUUGGUUACAUUUUGUUGCCAAGUGACAGAUGGCAGCAGAGAGACAGUCUGACAAAAUGAUGUCUGACAUGAAAACAUGUAUGAAGCAAAGGUGUGUCAUCAAAUUCCUUCGUAUGGAAAAAAUUGCACCCAGUGACAUUCAUCAAUACUUGCUGUACAUUUAUGAAGGCCAAACAGUGGAUGUGAGCACAGUGAGGUGGUGAGUGAUGCAUUUCAGCAGCAGCAGCAGUGACAGUGGGUCACCUCUGCUGGUGUAGAUUGUUAUGAGUACAGCACAGAAUCACAGAAUCAUCAAAUCCUUAGAGUUGGAAGGGACCCUUAAAGAUCAUCUUGUCCAACUCCUCUGCAAUGAACAGGGACAUCCGCAGCUAGAUCAGGGCCUGAUCCAGCUUUGCCUUGAAAGUCUCCAGGGACAGGGGAGAGUCUGUCCUCUUCUUUCCUGUAGCUCCCCCCUUUAGGUUUUGGAAGGCCACUAUCAGGUCACUUCCAAGCCUUCUCUUCUCCAGGCUGAACAGCCCCAGCCCUUUCAGUCGGUCCUUAUAGGAGAGGUGUUUCAUCCCUUGGAUCAUUUUUCUGGCCUUCCUCUGGACGUGCUCCAGUACGUGUGUGUCUGUCCUGUACUGAGGACUCCACAUCUGGAUGCAGUGCUCCAAGUGAGGCUUCACCUGCACAGAGUAGAGGGGCAGGAUCACCUCCCUCAGCCUGCUGGCUGUUUUUUUUUAGAUGCAGCCCAGAAUACAAUUGGCUUUCUGGGCUGCAAGAACACACUGCUGACUCAUGUCCAGCUUCCCAUCCACCAGUACCCCCAGGUCCUUUUUGGCAGGGUUGCACUCAAUCCUUUUAUCUCCUAGCUUGUAUUGAUAGCAGGGGCUGCCACAACCCAGGUGCAAGACCUUGCACUUGGAUUUGUUGAACCCCAUGAAGUUCUCCUGGGCCCACUGCUCAAGUGUGUCUAGAUCCCUCUGGAAGGCAUCUUGUCCCUCUGAUGAGACAACUGCACCACCACAGCUUGGUGCCAUACGCAAACUUGCUGAGGGUGCACUCGACCCCACUGAUAUUAAAUAGGUAUCGGUCCCAGAACUGACCCAUGGGGGACAUCUCUCAUCAGUGAUCUCCAUCCAGACAUUGAGCCAUUGACCACCGCUCUCUGAACUUGAUCCUGCAGCCUUCAUCCUUUGAACAGUCCUUCAUCCAUUGAACAGUCUACCCAUGUUAUCCAUAUCUUUCCAAUUUGGAGAGAAGGGUGUGGUGGAGUACCAUGUCAAAGGCCUUGCUGAAGUCCAGAUAGAUCACAGAAUCUCAGAAGUUGGAACGGACCUCAAGAGAUCAUUGAGUCCAACCCCUCUGCUGAAGCAGGUACCUUACAAUAGGUCACACAGGUAGGCAUCCAGCCACGUCUUGAAUAUCACCCUAGAAUGGGACUCCACAACCUCUCUGGGCAGUCUGUUCCAGUGCUGUCAACCUUACCAUAAAGUUCUUCCACAUGUUAGUUUGGAACUCUAUGUUCAAGUUUUAGGCCAUUACUCCUUGUCCUAUCACUACACACCAUCAAGAAGAGCCUGGCCUCCAUUUUGCCUCCCACCUCCCUUUAGAUAUUUAUAAACAUUUAUCCAGUAUCCUCUCAGUCUUCUUUUACCCAGGGUGAACAGACCCAGGUUACUCAGCCUUUCCUCAUAGGGGAGAUGCUCCAGACACUUAACCAUCUUUGUGGCCAUCCGUGGGACUCUUUCAAGGAGAUACCUGUCUUUUCUGAACUGAGGAGCCCAGAACCAGACACGGUAGUCUAAAUGUGGCUUCACCACAACAAAGUAGAGGGGGAGAAUCACCUCCCUUGACCUGCUGGCCAUGCUCUUUUUAAUGCAUUCCAGGAUAUCAUUGGCCUUCUUGGACACAAGGGCACACUACUGGCUCCUGAUCAACCUGUUGUCCACCAGGGCCCCCAGAUCCUUCUCUGCAGAGCUCCUCUCCAGCAGGUCAUCCCCUAACAAGUACUGAUGCAUACAAACAACAUCAGUGGCUCUUGCGUCGUCCACUGAUGCAGUUACACCAUCAUAAAAGGCCACUGGGUUGGUCAAGCAGGAUUUGCCCCUGGUGAAGCCAUGCUGGUUCUUCCGUAUCACCUGCCUGUCUUCCCUGCACCUUAGCAUAUCUUCCAGGAGGAUCUGCUCCAUGAUCUUUUCUGACAUAGAGGUGAAACUGACAGGUUUUUUACCCUCCUUAAAAAUGGACAUGAUAUUGCCUUUCUUUCCAGUAAUGAGGGAAUUCCCCUGAUUGCCAUGACUUUUCAAAUAUCAUUGAGAGUGGCUUUGCGACUACAUCAGCUAAUUUCCUCUUGUUCAUCGCUGGUGAAAAAUGCAUAGCUAAUGGUGAUGACUGUGUUGAAGAAGAGUGUUUUGUACCUGAGAAUUUGCUCUAUUAAAUAGUGCAGCUGUGCUCUUUGCAUCAGUUGUAGUUUCCAUUGAUAUAAUUUGGAGGCAUUACUUUCAAAGCAACCUUCAUAGUUGUGGCCCUAGACAAUUCCUCUUCACUCAGUGCGGCCCAGGCAUGCCAAAAAGUUGGACACCCAUUCUCUAAUCUGUGUCAUCAUCACGUGUUGUCACAUACUGGAUUAUUUUGAAUCAUCUGGUAUAUUGCUCCUGCAAAUAAGAGAAACACCUUUCUACUGCUGCGAAAGAAAAUAUUCUGGUAGGUAAGAACGGGAAGAGUUACUGAGGAUUGUACUGAUUUAACUCCAUUUCACUGUUCAUAGGAGUGCAGCUUCUUCUGAGGGACAAAUUUAUGCUUCUGUUUGGAAAGCAGAUGUCAUUGUACAAGUCACAGCUUCAAUACAUGUUGACAGUGCUACUGUUGGAAUGUACUUGGAUGCUGCAUCAACAAGUGGUCAUGACAAAGCUCCUGAGAGCUCCAUUGACACCAACCCAGCAAUAGCUAACCCUAUCAGAUUGGGUUAAAAUGCAUGGGCCCAGGAGAGCCCGUGUGCUGGCUGGGAGCUGGAGAAGGGACAGUAGCUUCUGAGCCACAGUCAGGCUCCUGAACCUGCCUGUCACUGUGGCAUCAGGACAAUAAGGGGAAAUGGCUGAGAGGAAACAGAGCAAGACUGUGGGGGAAAAUCAAUAGCAGGGAGCUGUGGAGGAGCUGGGGUAGGUGAAACCUCUCCAUUUGACCUACUUUAGCAGGUGUAGUUGUUUAGAUGGAAUUUAAAUCUCUGAAGAUAUGUGGGGAACUUCCUGACAUCACCCAAAGAUGGGCAGGGGCCAGGGCAGGGCUACACAUGUCAAGUAUGUGCUUAACCAUAACCAGGUCCAAACCCUUCAGUGCCAGCAGAGAUUUCCACGUGCGCUGGCUCAUUCUUGAGCAGGCAGAGCUCCAUAGGGGACACAGAAUCACUGGUGAAUGAGGUAAAGCACAAAGGUAUACCAAAAAUAGGAUAUUUGGAACACAGUUCUGCAGCGUGCUAGGUCUUCAGCUACCAAUUUCAGAUAUAAGCUGUACCUGCUUUGUCCUUAUGUUGUCCAGAACCGUGUAACAUCUGUCAAUACUGUUAACCUCAGGAAUUUAAAAUAAUUAGUUGUUAGUUAUUUAUAAUUAGUUACUUGUCUCUCACUCCAACAUUGCAGGAUUUUGAGGGAAAAGAUUGGGAAAAAAGAAAUAAAUUCAAAUGUAUCUGCAUAUUCUGAUCUUGCUUCUGGGUUUUGUUUUGUAAACUACUAUUUGCAAAUUUAUCCCCCAAAUUUUGAAUGCUAUUAGACUUCUUUUCUCUUUCAUUAUAGUCUUUUUUCCAUCUGUCUUUCACUCCCUCUUUCCCUUCCUCCCUCUCUCCUUACCCAGUUCUUUCGUCCCUCCCUGACUCCUUGCCUGCCUGUCUGCCCAUUUCGUAUGUAAUUACAUGAUUCAGACCAGGAGAAUUAAGGAACAGGAAAACAUAUGAUGAAACUGAAGGUAAAAGUAGAAAAGCCAUCAAACUAUGUGCUGUUACUGCAAAACAUUCUAAACAAAAGUAAACAAGAAAUAGAAGCUGAAGGGGCAGAGUUCAACAUUUCUGUCAGGUCAUGCCAAAGUGAUUUACAUUUUAUAGAUACCGUGGCUGGUUUAUCCUUCUCCUCUUCACUUACCUCAGCUGCAGAGGUGAAGCAAACUUUUCUCAAAGCCUAAUCCUCUCUAUUGGUAAUAUUUUCAGAGGCUGGUUCCUCUUCCCCCUCCCUUUUUCUGCAUCAUUUUCUCCACAGGGUGACAGGAUUACAGCUGUCGUGCCCAUUCUGAGUUGUGGUGCGCACUCUGUCAUCCAUGUCAUUCUAACUCUAUAUCUUGCUGGCAGUAAAAGAGUGACACAAAUUGUUUUCCUGCCAGAUUAACAUUGUCUAGUAGAUUUAAUGCUCAUAAUCUAAUGUGAGAGAGAACAUUAUAUGGGCAACAGAAGUCAAUCUGCUUGCAACGAUUGUCCAGCAUUGCUGAAAAUAAAUAAAUGAAUGCAUGAAUGAAUAACACUGCAGUUCUAGCCCUGUGGAAGCAGAGCACCAUUCUGCACUGUUCUGUACCUUCUGAGGCGGUGCCCUAUAGUGACAGUGCUGCCCAGCUGUAUGACCGGUAGGAUGACGUGGAAAUGCAGCAAAGGAGAAGGAGAAGCGAUAAAUAAAUAAAUGAAUAAAUAAAUAAAUAAGAAGGAAAGAAAGAAAAAUGAAAUAAGGGAGAAGGAAAAGGAAACAGGAAAAGCAAAAAAGGAAAAGGAAACUCGAGGUCGAGUGAGAGCAGUGUGUACUCAGCGAACUGCAGAAUGAAACCUUGGCAAAUGAAAAAAAUCAGUGUGAGUACAGCUUGUUGCAUAGAAGUGUGAUUUAUCUGCUUUUAUUUUCAAUAGUUCCAGUGGCAUCAUAAUGUAAGAUUUUAUAACCUAUUAAAUCAUGCCUGACGUUUAUUGUUGUAUUUUGGAGUGGAUACAUUACAGAUAGGCAGGAGCUGCACAGCAGUUUCUUCUCAGAGGUCUUAUUCCAUCCUCGUGCCCUUUUAUAACUUUAGCUCAGAAACUGCCCAAUGUUAACUGAAGAUAAAGAUUUUGGCCAAGAAUCAAAAAAUAAUCAACUUUUCAAUUACCAUUGAGUCGUUCGGAUCGCCCUGAUAUGAGGUGGCCUUUAUUUAUGUAGUUGUCUUCUAUUUCCAAAAGCAGAUCUGCAUACAAAAGGGUUAACAGCAACAGUCUCUUUGGGCUUCGCAGUAACCUUCAGAGCAAACAGGUUGCCCUUUCACAGGAAAGAGGUGGUAAUCAAUCUAAGUUGCUCACCAUUUUUUUUUUUUUUGUCUGUGUGUAGGGAGUGACAUAAUUAAUACCAGUAACUUGAGUUGACCCCAAUAUUAUGUUGGGAGAUGGCUGAGAAGAGGCAUAGAGGUGGGUGGAUAUGGGUGCCAAGGUCAUGUCCUUAUCUGGCCCAACUCUCCACACUUUUCUGUUGCCUAUGGAGGGUCUCCGUGAUGUCAGCCUGGACACUGUUCUUAGCAGCUUCCAUCUCUGCAACUUUAGCAUCUUUUCUGUAUACCAUUCACUUGAAUGGAAGGAGGGCAGCCUACUGUCAGGGGAAGCAGCAGUACCAGCAGUGAUGCAGGAUGUGGCACUGAAUGUUUGUCCUAUCCUGGCUCUUGGUGCUGGAGGACCAGCUGCCUCCUCAACAGACCUCAGGGCAUCCACAUGUGUGCAUGGUAGGACAGAGGCCUAACUUGUUAGAUGUGUUGCUCACGCACAACGUGCGCAACAUCAGGGAUGGCAGCAGCAGCAGCACCUGCCUGCUUGUGGUCCACUGCCCCUUCCUACACUCAUGUAGUCAGUCUCUCACUAGACAGGCCCAUCUGUGUGGCAACAUCCUGAAGAAAGCUGAGGCUAAGUUUCGAGUUGCACCGGUUGAGACAGGCUGAGAGAGCAACUGCAAGAAGAGAGAGGGUGGAAUAGACAAGUCCUGCCAGCAGCAGAGGGAAAGGGAAUAGUGAGACAGUGGAUGAGGAAGGGAAAAGCAGUGGAGAGGAGAUGAGGAGAAGAGUCUUAGCUCAGGAGGGGCUUCACCAGCCACUUCAGGAGGAGAGAGAUGAAAAGAUUAAGUGAAGGAAUGGUAACCUUGAUCAGAGGGACAUUCAGCCUACCUGCCUGGUACCUAGGAGGGAGCUGCCAGCAGUCAAGGGAUCUUUGCUAUAUCAUAUAUCACUAUGGUACAGGGACUUCUGUGACCAGAAGGAAGGCUGGCUUCAUCUACACAGUGAAGAUAGUUUCACAUUCCAGGGCCUGAACUAAGUGCAGGUAUCAGUGGUCACAGCUACCAUUCAAAAAAUAAAGAUAUAUUUCAAUGUUAGAUAGCAUCUUACAAGCAGUAAUUAAACUUUUACAACACCCAUGUGAGGUAAGUGAAUAAUUAUCACUCCUAUUUUAAAGCUAUGAAAGGAGAGAGGGUAAGUGGUUUGCCGAAGGCCACGCAAUGAGUCAGUGGCAGUGCUUCCAUUAGCAGGCAUCAGCUCCUGCUUCCGAGGCCUGUCCAUGAGCCACAGCAGCAUUGCAGUCUCCCCAUCGAGAGAUGAAAGCAAGCUGAUUUCUCAAGCACUUUGAUGAGAGAAGGAAGGUUAGAAAUAGCCCACGGCUGUUUCUGGAGAAAGAGUCAGGACAGAAGGAGAAUUUCUAAAGAGGAGAGUGGAAAAGUGCCAGGCUCAGGAAAGGGAAUGGUGAUAAAGUAACUAUUGAUAUGUGUGGUUAUGAAGGGAAUAAAGCUGGCAAACCAGAACCAAAUGACAGGGAAGAAAAAAUAGGUCAGUGGUGAAGAUAGAUUUGUCAGAGAGCUUUGUGGCAUUUGAGAGGCCUAGGGGAGAGGUGGGAAGGGAAUGAGAGGGGAAAGAGAGAUGGGGAGAAAUUCCAGUGAAGUGCAUACAGCAGCAUUUAAAAACUGCUGCACUUGGAGGCAGGGAAAUAAAAGCCACUGAGCAUGAGGCCUUUCAGUGCCUGCCCAAUUACAAUCGUGCUAUUGAGUCUCACUCAGCAGCUGUGGAUCCUGGAAUGGUCUGCCAGGCUAGGUAAGUGUUGGCACCAUCAUCUCACUUACAGGAGUACCAAGGCUCGGAGCAGUGUAGAAACUUACCUGUGGUUGUUCAGCAAGGCAAAAAUUAUUACAAUAAGUGGAAUGUGAAAUAGAAAGACAGAUAGGGACACACAGUUCUCAGUGGCAUAGGAGAGAACAAGAAAAAUGAUGACUGAUGUCAGCAGCCCAAAUCUAUUUUUCCUAGCUCUAGAAUACAUCAUGCUGAGUAAAAUGGCAGGUAGAGGCCAGGAGAUACGGAUCUUUUAUGUUUUAAACUACAAGCUAAGAAAUACUGGCAGGCAGAUACGUUAAUAUAUGCACAUGCAUGCAAAUGCACGUGGACACAACACAAUUAGCCUGACACUGGAUUUGGUAUUGUACAUGUCCUUAGAUUAGUUAUUUCUGCAGUUUCUCAACUUUCCUCCUUUUAGCAAAACUAAGAUAAUGACUCUUACCUACAAAACAGAGACUCACUUAUAACCUAGAUUUUGCAAUGCUAAGUGUGCUUAACUUGAAGCUGCAAAUGAGCACCCAUUUUGCUUUUUUGGUUGUCUUGUGCCACGGAACACAAGCCACAUGUCUGACAGUUGGUGGCUGCUACACCAGAAUGAGCAUCACCUGAAAAAGUAAAACCUCAGAAAAUAGCUGCCAUCAUUACUAGUAGACUCUGAAAGAUUGUCAGAAAGAGUAGUGUUUUCAAGGCCUAAGAAAGUGAGGUGCUUGAGAACAAAAGUUCCUCUUCAUUUCAAAAGCCACCCUUCCUAAACUCUGCUUCCUCCUUUCCCUGGCAAAAAAAUGAAGCUACAGCUACUUUUACCUUAGUUUGUGGAAGGCAGAGAAGCAUCUUGCAGUUUAAAGUAAGAGGAGGAAACCAAUUCAACAAAUCUGUCGAGUGAGUCAGGAAAGAGCAGUGUAUAAAAUAAAGCUUAUUUUUAGUAACACUCCUUUGGUUUUAAAAGUUAUUCCAACUUCACCUCUUCCUUUUUUUCAGCUUCACAGGCAGAUCAGAGCUCCUUCUGCCACCUCUCCUUCCACCUGGCGCAGAGGGCCAUGGUACUUCAGCUGUGCAGUGCUACCACCCUCUGGCCACUUCAAUUCCACAGUCCUCAAUCUGCAGGAGACUCUGAACUUAGUCGUAUGCCUCCUACAUCUACUCUGUAAGAUAAAUUUCACCCUUCAGGGUACCUAGUGUGUGAGAGAGUGAUUUGCACCUUCUGAUGCAGCUCUAUACAAUGCUUGUUUUGACUGAUUCAUUUUGUAAAGGGAUUUCAUCUGGGUGAAGGAAGUAGUUAGACUUAGCCAAAUACAGUCAUCCACCACAUACGGCACUGGGGUUUUUCUAAAAGGCCACCAUCCAUGUUAGAUUGGUGACUGAUUCCUGCUUGGAGGAUAUAUUCGGUGGGAUGAGACGUUCCUGGAUCAUUUUGGGAUUUAAGUGCUGGAAUGGCAUUUCCUGUGGUACCUUGACCAAGAGAUUUUAUCUUUCAGCACCUCAGCCGCACAGCUGUAACACAGAUAUCAUGCACUUUUUUUGCACAUGGGUGUUGCCAGGAUGAACAUAUUAAUUAUUUUGAUCACAUGGGUGUGAGCUUAUAAAAAUUCCAAGUUAUGUAGCAGUCUGCCCAGAUCACUCUAUGCUGACGCUACCAACACACUGAGACUUCUGCAGAGAUAGUUUUCAGUGGUGGGGAGCUUCUGUCCACCAUAAACUGUGCUGAGGCCACUAGCUCAUUUCCCAGAGCACAGCAAGAAGAUAUAGGGUGGGAACGAUUGGAGGAGCAAAAAGUAAUUUGGAACCAAAACCUAAAGUACUUGGAGUAUAAGAGCUAUUUCACAUACAGCUACUACAAUAGAAGAAAAGGCUUAUUUUGCUGAAAUUGUCCCAACUUUUCAUAUUUUAUGUAAGAAACUGCACAAUAAUAAUAAGCACAGAGAUAAAAAUAGGCUCAGAAGCAAAACUGUGGCUUCAAAGUUGAAACACCAUGUUCUAGCAUUAUGCUUUUUUUGUGCCAAGCAAAUCAUAUCUUUUUAAACCUUUAUGGGACAAGAAAAUGUGAAGAACAUAGGUAAUAAAGUACUUUCUUGCAGAAUCUUGCCAUCUGUGUAGCUCUUUAGGGGUGAUGGAGGAUCACUCUAGCCAUAUCCUAUGUGAAGGAGCAAUGAAAGCAUUCAUUGUUCUUUAUAAUUUCCUUGUUACAGCCUCUCCUUACAGGUGAUAGGUUGGCACACUCUUUCCUAGAAGCACUGUGGAUUAGGAGAGCUAAGACUGUGUAGAGCUCACUCUGAGACUUCACCCAGACUUCUCACCGGAACUCUAAAAUCUGUUUGAAGAUGCUAUUAUGUUUUUGACAGGAGCAUAAAAGAGGGAGCCAAGAGGCAGCACGCUAGCAUGAACCUUCACAUGGUUUUGUAAAGAAGCUGGUUCAACAAGAUGUCAGAAAUGGACAUUUUAUCUGCCUUGACAAACCAUUCAAGUGUAUAUGUAGAUUUUUUUAUUUUUAUUUUUUGUCAGAGCAGUUCAUGCUAGAAGUGGAUUUUGGUUUUAAUUUUAUUGUUGUCAUUGUCUUCUCCUUGAUGCAGUAGUAUAAUGGUACUUAUAAUGGUAAUCUCUUGUAAGGACACGAUUGUUUCAGUGGAAAUUUAUCCAUAGUACGUGGCCUACUUUUUGCCUGACAGUGGCUAUAUUGGCCUUACAUACAUAGAAAGUUGCAAGACAAUGCUAAAAGGUUGAACUAGUGUCCCACUGAAAGAGUAGUUAAAGUCCCACAGUUGUUAUGUGUAGGCAAUCCCUGAGUGCCAGCAGUGCUCUUUCAUUUCUCAGGUUCAUAGUGGGAGGAGUGGUCAUAGUUCAAUUUUAUCUCAGAACAGAGUCUCAUUUUAUAGCAUUCAAUGUCUAUGGGAAAGGGACCUACUCUAUGUUCUCUGCCUUGAAUUCCUUAUCAAAAAUGAGUCUGAUCAAAACAGUUUAGUCUGUAAAUCUUAGUUUAGUCUGUAAAUAUCUGAACUGAAGAGCCUACGAUCUUUUUUCACUUUGGAAAAAGAAAAAAUAAGAACAACCUGAAGAGUCUGGUAGCAUCUCUACAUUUAUCAAAAAUAAAUAACCCUAUCUUUUCUUCUCAUCUUCUCUCAUGUCCGUAACCAAGUGCUUAUUUAUAUAAAAAACAAAAACAAACAAGAAAAAAAUGGAAAGAAUCAUAGAAUCAUAGAAUUACUCAGGCUGGGAAGGACCUCAAAGAUCAUCAAGUCCAACUGCCGCCUAACCAUAGUACCCUAACUCUAACAACCCUCCACUAAAUCCUAUCUCUGAGCACCACAUCCAAACAGCUCUUAAACACAUCCAGGGACGGUGACUCAACCACCUCCCUGGGGAGCCUAUUCCAAUGUUUAACCACUCUUUCUGUAAAGAAGUGUUUUCUAACGUCCAACCUAAACUUACCUUGGUGCAACUUGAGGCCAUUUCCCCUCGUCUUGUCACCUGUCACCAGUGAGAAGUCGCACUCACUGUAAGCAUCCUUCAGGUACUGGAAGAGAAUAAUAAGGUCUCCCCUCAGCCUCCUCUUCCCCAGACUAAACAGCCCCAGCUCCCUCAGCCUCUCCUCAUAGGGCUGAUUUUCCAAGCCCUUCACUAGCCUCGUUGCCCUUCUCUGGACCUGCUCCAGUACCUCCAUGUCCUUCUUGUACUGAGGUGCCCAAAACUGAACACAGUACUCGAGGUGAGGCCUCACCAAUGCCGAGUACAGGGCAGGAUGACUUCCCUAGUCCUGCUCACCACACCAUUCCUGAUACAAGCCAGGAUGCCACCGGCCCCCCUGGCCACCUGGGCACACUGCUGGCUCACAUUCAGCUGACUGUCCAACAGUACGCCAAGGUCCCUUUCCAUCAGGCAGCUUUCCAGCCACUCUGCCCCAAGCCUGUAGGGUUGCCUGGGGUUGUUGUGACCAAAAUGCAGAACCCAACACUUGGCCCUAUUGAAACUCAUGCCGUUAACCUUGGCCCAUCAAUCCAGUCUAUCCAGGUCCCUCUGUAGUGUCCUUCUCCCCUCUGGCAGAUCAACACUCCCUCCCAGCUUGGUGUCGUCUGCAAACUUACUGAGGAUGCACUCAAUACCCUCAUCCAGGUCAUCAGUGAAGAUAUUAAACAGAAGCAGCCCCAGCACUGAGCCUUGGGGGAUACCGCUCGUGACCGGCCACUAACUGGAUUCAACUCCAUUGACCACGACAAUUUGGGCCUGGCCAUCCAUCCAGUGCUUCACCCAGCAGAGCGUACACCCAUCCAGACCAUGGGCAGCCAGCUUCUCCACAAGAAUGUUAUGGCGGACAGUGUGAAAGGCCUUACUGAAGUCCAGGUAGACCACAUUGACAGCCUGACCCUCCUCCACUAAGCGGGUCACCUUGUCAUAGAACGAAAUCAGGUUUGUCAGACAGGAUCUACCGUUUGCAAACCCAUGCUGACUGGGCCUGAUCCCCUGGUUGACCUUUACUUGGUCCAUGAUGGUUCCCAAGAUUAUUCGGUCCAUGACCUUCCCUGGUACCGAGGUGAGACUGAUAGGCCUGUAGCUACCAGGAUCACCUUUCUGGCCCUUUUUGAAGAUGGGCGUCACAUUUGCCAGUUUUCAAUCCACUGGGACAUGCCCUGUUAGCCAGGACUACCAAAAAAUAAUGGAGAGUGGCUUGGCAACCACAUCCGCCAACUCUCUCAGCACUCUAGGGUGCAGUCCAUCCGGCCCCAUGGACUUGUAAGCAUCCAGCUUUUGCAGCAGGUCCAAAACUAUGUCGUCAUGGAUCAUGAAGGGCUUAUUCUGUUCCCCAUCCCUAUCUACCAGCGCAGGGGGCUGUGUUCCCAGGGAGUAACAAGUCUUAUUAUUAAAGACUGAGGCAAAGAAAGCAUUAAGUACCUCAGCCUUAUCCCUAUCCUUGGUGACCAGGUUGCCUUCGGCAUCCAACAAGGGAUGGAGAUUCUCCCUAGACUUCCUCUUGCUGUUAAUGUGUUUAUAAAAGCAUUUACUGUUUUCCUUCACUUUAGUGGCCAAGCUCAAUUCUAGCUGUGCUUUGGCUUUUCUAAUUUUCUCCCUGCACAGCUUCACUACAUACCUGUAAUCCUCAUAAGUAGCUUGCCCACUCUUCCAGAGACCAUAAACUUUCCUUUUGUUCUUGAGAUCCAGCCAAAGGUCUCUGUUCAGCUAGCCCGGCCUCCUUGCCUGUCGGCUCAUCUUCCGUGACAUGGGGGUGGUCAGGUCCUGCACCUUUAAAACAGUUUCCUUAAAAUAUUCCCAGCCUUCCUGGGCUCCCAUGCUCUCCAAAAUUACCUCCCAAGGGACCCUCUCAACCAUGGUCCUAAAGAGGUUGAAGUCCGCCCUCCGGAAGUCCAAGGUGGCAGUUCUGCUGAAAGAAAGAAAACAACUACAUUUCUACUGUGUCUAAUAUUUUGCUAUGGAAAUGUGCUUCACAAAAUUAAAAACAACUUUCAAAUCUCUAGAUCUUGACACAUCAGAACUCAUCUUUCCCUUUUUCAUGUCCACCCACGAGAGAGGUACUGGCUACCUGCCUGAAGGAAGAGAAGGCCAUGGCAAAAUGACACACCUCGCAUCUUGCCUUUCAGUAACCAAAAUUCGCUUAUCGCAGGCUGUAGAAAGGAGCAAAUUUUAAAGGUAUAGAAACUUCCUACAAAGAAUGUGCUUUACCUUUCAUUACUCUCUGGGCACCAACAGAAAAUAUGUGUCUUCAGUUGAUGAAAUUUGUGGUGAGCAAAGCUGUUGGCUUCACAACAUGGUUUGAAUUUGGAGAUUCUGCAUCUUAAGCCAUUUUCUAGUGUUUGUCAUAUGAUGCCCUAAAUAAUAAAAGAAAUAUUAUUAACAAAACACAAUGUAAUCAUCCAGUAAAGAUUAAGUUCAUAUGUAAAACUUCUGAUUAAAUAAGUUGCAGCUUAUUUUCCCAGCUGAUUUGGACUCCUUUGAAGAGAGAGACGUUAAGUUACAUUUAUCAUAUUUGAUGGAAAUGCCAACACCUAUUUGAUAUCAAGAUAAAGGAUUGGAUUCUCUUACUCUACGGCUUGAAAGCUGUCAUUAGCUGAGUGGAUAAAACCACGUUUAAGGCCAACCAGCCUUCUGCUCCACAGAUGGAUGUCUCUUCCAUCAUAAUCUACCCAAACAUCAGAGGUGAGGUGAGGAAGGCAUGUCCUAGACAUCCCACCUUGAUAUAACUUCCCACAGAUGAAUCUUCCACCACAAAGAGAAUCCUUUCUUAAGCUUCAUUACAAGCUGGAAAUCUUCCAGCAACUAACUUUUCAAUGGAAAUAACACUUUUUUUUUCCCCUCAGAAUCUUAUGUAGUUUCUGUGAUGCCUUUGUCUUCAAAGAUCCCAAAUCACCAGGCUAGCACCUGUUUAUUAAACACUGAAAUCUUCUAUCUGCUCACUAGCCAGCAUGUCUGACCAACACAGAAUAGAGGAAAGAGUAAGGAAAAUUGGUAUAUACUACAGUUUUAAAGCAUCAAAUCCAUAAUGAGAAAAGUGAGGAAAUUCACGAAUCCAGGCUCCCUCCCUGGAAACAGUUGUCACCACCACCAGCUGGUUCUAUUUCAAAUGCCUAAUUUGAUGCCAACUACCACAUUGUUGUACUAUUAAAAAAAAAAAAAAAAAAAAAAAAAGAAGAUUGAAAGGUUGCUUCCUACUUUGUUAGAGACAGAACUCAAAUAAUCUGAAACUCUGGAGGUCAGUGCUGUGAGUGUUUGAUGAGUGGCAAGACAUUGUUCCAGAAAUACUAUUUUUAUGGAUAUGCAUGUGUGCUAAGUGAAAAAAGAGUUUCACUUCUAUUGAAAAGAAAAAUUGGAAGCUGGCUUUUGUGAGAUAUUUAACUCUUCUACCAAUCAAAAAGAUGAAGAGGAGUGUGUGGGUGUGAAAAGCCCUGAACUCAAGAAUACUUAUUGACUUAAUUUAACUAAAAAUAUUUAGUUAUCUAAAUUGGAGGUGAAGAAUUUGGGAAUAUUUUUUAAGAAAAUAGGAAUGUCAAAAUGAGCAUUAGUUGCACUUUUAUGAAACAAAUUUCAGCUUCUUCUAGAGGCUAAAUGGCUGGCACUAAGACCAAGAGUUUUAUUGGACUCCUAGGGUGAAAUACCAUUUAUCCAUACAUCCAACUGCUACAACAAGCGAAUCUCUUUGGCAAUAUGGCAACACAAAACUAGUUUGUUUCAUAAUUUAGCAUUUUAAAACCGAGACUGUCUAUAAAUCCUCUGUUUAUAGGUGGUUCAGUGAUAGCAAAUGGAAAAGAAGCUACCUCAAGCUGCUUAUAAAAGAGUAGGUGACACAGAUCUGUGAAGCCUCUCUCAAGGUGUACAAGAGAUGAUUUUUCUAAGCACUGGGACUAAUAUGAAUUAAAUUAAUCUUUGGGAACAGGAUGACUUACAAGUGAAAAUGCCAUAAUCUUAUGUCAUUUGCUAGAGAAGGAAAAUUGAAACAGCUGAUCAGCUGAUCUAUUCAGGGCAUUUUAAUCUAAUUUGCACAGGAGUGGGUCUAAUUCAAUGGGCCUCCUUUAAUAAAUUUAAUGUUAUUAAUCAGUCAUUUAAAUCACAGUCCUUGCCUAUUUAUACUCCCCUCUGCCUCCCACAUGUACAUAAUAUUAGCUUUGCUGAGGCAAGGGCAAGAAGACUAAUGGGAAUAAAUGAGCAGGCAAGAGUCACAGGCAUAAUGGCCCAAGAGGUGAUGGCCUCCCAUAGCCACAUUUUCCAAUUUCUUGAGCCUGUGUUCAGUGAGGUCAUCCUCCUGGCCACUUGAUGGGACAGGAGCCGAGUCCCUCCACAGCGGGUCACUUGGGAAGGGAAGAGUUGUCAGGGGAGGUGUCUUAUCCUGCCCCCCAUGUGCAGCGUAACUAAUCUGCGCAACUUCCAGAGCCCACAGACCAUGCAUGGAAGGUCAGCAGGUCCGUGGCCACCAGCUCACAGCUGGGGAAAAAAAAAAAGCAGGAAACCAUCAGCCCUUAGACUCCAAAGGCUGAAGAGGGGCAGAUAAAACAGGGUCAUUAACUCUCACCUCACGAGACUUGGCAGGUCUCUGUCCUUGAACCAGGUUAGAGUUCUGCAUUAAUUGCUAUUAUUGCCACAGCAGUAUCUUUGGUGUUUACCAAGGCCCUAAUUGGAUUACAUCACAAUGGAUGCACACAUGCCCUGAUUCUAUGGAUAAGAUGAUUAAGAGAUUGAUCAGGCAUGUGCAUGUUUCAUGUUCCUGCAGUGCUUCUGCUGAAACACGCCUAUCUGUGGGAGGACAUCAUUGGCCUCUUUACAUCUUGUGGAAAGCACAAGCCUUUGAUUUGAGCUCCAGGAGCUGAAGCAAUGCUGGUGUAGAAUGUGCAGUUAUGUGGCAUGAUGAGGAUAGACAAAUCCAUGUGUCUGACAAAUCUGUUUUCUUUCUUAAAUACUGUUUUCUUUCUUAAAUACUGUUUUCUGGAUGCAGUGGGUCACCGUGGGUGAAGUUCCCAGCUGGGCAACUGGCAUCCAAAUUGCGCUGGAUGAUUGAUAAAAGAAAUAGGAAUGGCUCCUCAGCCCUUUCAAGAAGGUGAGUGAUUUCAAAUCAAAGCUGCCACUUCACCCUCCACUGGUAAUAAAUCAGUUCAAUAUGCCUGGAUGUGCUGGUUAACUCUGGAGAUGGUCAGAUCAUACAGCUGAAAACUGUCACAUUCUUAUCAGCAACGUGGUUCUGCAGUGCCAUCCUUACUUUCCAGCAUCUCUGAGAACACAAACCUUGGAUUUUGGUACGUCACCAGGGGAAUUUGCACAUGAGAGUUCACCUUUCUGUAACAGCUGUUACAACAAAACAUAGAAGAAAAUAAUGGAAAAGCAGCUGAGUACUUCCUGUGGAAAAAGAGAGUAUGGGAACUUAUUGCCUUGGAGAAAUGGUUUGUAUUGCCUAUUAAUUUACCACCCUCAGAACCCACAUAAGCUAUAAUACAACCAGGUCACAUGAAUUGAAAGGUGAACGUGUUUAUGUGGAUCUGACAGGUGUUAAUGGUGGCUUCCAACAGGAAAAGAAAUGCAGGACGAGAAUUUGCCCAUUAAACAAGUCCAACAGCAUUACUGCUUUGUACCAGUAUUACUUUCUGUAUCCAGGUGUUGCGAAAGUAAACGUCCUGCUACCUUUAUUUAGGAGAAGAUCCUCACAAAUGUAAUAAUCUUUUAAGGCCCAAUUUUAUCAUGCACUGUGCUUCUAUCUGGGUAUCCAAUGUAAUGUUCAUAAUAAGAUUAGCAGAGUGUAAAUCUUUAUGCAAUUUAAAUAAAUAGUCUCUUGAGUGUCUGGCAUUAGGAAUACAUUGUUCUAUAUUCCCCUACAGGCACUGAUGUUGUGUGCUGCAAUUGAGAUGUAUUUGUCUGUACCAUAUUACAAAGCAUUUGAUUUAAUUUUAAAUGGAACUGUCCCAUCUCUUCUUUGAUUUGACUAUCAUGUAAUUUGGUUAAUUAAAAUUCAUUGGGUAUUUCUUUCCAUUUGCCACAAAAAUGCUGAAGUGUGUAAUAUGGUAUAUCAAAAGUAGCUAUGUGGAAUGUCAUUGGCACAGUGCACGGAACAGCCCAAUACAGACACUAUUGUUGUAACAUCAAAUUUAUCCUAUGAAUCUCGUCUGUCCAGCUUAUAUAUAUAAUUCCACAUUCACUCAAUCUGAAUGGUUAUUUCCCAUAUUAAUAUCCUUAUUCGUUUGUUGUGAUACCUGGAUGUUUCCUAAACCUAUUGACUCAUUUAGUACUGAUCAGCUUUUAAUAUGGCCAAACAGAAUUAAACACAGGAAAACAAACAAACAAGCAAACAAAACCCAUACCAAAUUCAGAUGCCCCAUCCUUCCUCAAAUUUGUUGUAAUUCUGUUGUCUGCUUUACUGAUGGACACCAAGAAAAAAAAAAACACCAUUGCAAUCAAUAGAGCUGGGAGACCCAAACCAGUUGUUCACCUAUCUGGGUAGAUCAGUAACUGGAAGUUCAUCUCAUCUCACUGCAGAUAUCUGAAACAGGACAGAAGAACAGGCAAACUACAUUUUUCUCUUCACUGACUCCAGAAAGAGGUUAAAAAAUUAACCAGUGUCAUGUAAAUUCAUGUUCCAAGCUGUCCUGUUUGUGUUGAGCAGUCCUUGUGUAUUUGCCUUCACUCUGCAUUACUGUGUGUGAGAUGGACCUCUGUUCCAAGGCUGAAAAUACAGCCAGCAGAGGUAAAUCAUCUGUCUGGUCACUCCUGAAGUGUCAACAGUUCUAGGAUCAUGACAUCUGUUGUAAUAAGGCCAGUGGCUCAGCACAGAAGGAUUUAUAUCACUGUAAAACUGGAGUAAACUCUCCAGUCAUCCACCCCAAUGCAUUUCACAGGAUGUAUAGAUAAUAUACUUGAUAAUUCCUGCACCAAGAUUCAACAGUUUGAGGCUCAAAAAGAUUGACCUCAAAAGAAAAUGCAUAUCCUUUCUUGGUUCAAAGCUCCUCCAGCAUCACUUAACUCUUCCAUAUCCUCGGUGGUAGUUUCCUAUGGCUUGUUGCCCCACAUCAGAAACCAUAAGAGUAUCAUCCUGGUUCCCAGUAAUAUUCUGCUGGUAAAUAAAAAGUUUUCUGUUUGCUUGUUUUUCAAGAAUGUGCUGUUAAUCUUUUAAUUACUACAAGGGAACAAUGUGCUGUUAAUCUUUUAAUUACUACAAGGGAACAAAAGCUGCAAAGGCAUCUCAUGUUACAGGACACAGUUUUUGCUAAAGCACUGCCAUGAUGAAUUCAACAGUGUUAACUUUUCCUGUGAUCAAUCACAAUAACAGCUAAUCAGUGACAAAGACUUCGCUCCUCAUGCAGACACUUAUUUUAAAGCAGUCAUCUCUACAGCACCACCAGCAAAAUUUACUUCAUGGUUGGCAUUGCUUCACCAAACCACCAUCUGUGACAAACCUGCCCUUCCCUGUCUCCUGCUCCCUGCUGAAAGUGCUCAUAAUUCACUGCUUCAUAACUUACUGCCUGAGAAGGAGCCAGGCAAGGCAAUGAAGCAAAGCCUGUGGCCAGGAGAGAGGGGAGGAGGAAGACAACUGCCUUACUGAAAGGCCAGGCCUACCUGGAUGAUUAGGCCUCCAGCAUGCAGUCUGGUGAGAGAUGGCACUUCCCUUCCUCCUCACGUGAGCAGGGCAGAAUUUUGUCCAUUCUAACAGAUGUUCCUGCACAAGUUUGCCAUCACUCUAAAGCAAGUGUGUCAUGGCUGACCAACUGUGUCACCCCUGGGAUCCCCCAGCUGUAUCACUUAGUACCAUACCUGCUAUGGAGAGCAAGGGAGCACAGGCAUCUGGCACACUUCCUACAUAUCAGUCCCACCUGCAGCACCUUGUCACUGGGCCUGUUUGCAUCAGACAGAGCUGCACAAUGUGUAAAGUGCCUUUGUCAGCUAGUAUGGUGGAUUCUGGCUUAUAAUCACUAUGGCUAAAUAGAAAAAAAGCUUGACAAAAUCCACACUGCAUUUUUAAUUGCUGUUGGAAUCGUCAGAACUAACCCAUCCUGUUCCUGUUUCUCUCUUCCUGUUUCUGAUGCCCACACUCAUCAUGCUUGUGCUUGGCAGGGGUUCAGAGCUGCAACUGGAAGCAUCCUGAGGCUUGUGAGAUCUGAGUAACUGGUACUCUGUUGCAAGCCUAACAGCACAGAUCUCUUGGAGAACCACACGAUAUGCUUGAUUUUUAAACCUGUUGUUUUUAAACUAAUAUUUAGAAAUCCAAAAUAAGUUAGCUGUGCUUCCCUAAAGACAGAAUUAUUGCAGAAUAAUUGGGGUAGUUUCAAAGCAAAUGUGAAUCCUUAAUCACUUGUAAAUAUUGCACAGCAGUAACAGGCUGUCUUAACAGGAACUUGUGUCCUCCAUCCAACAAAUGCUUGCAGAUCACAGAAAACAAUCAAGCCCAAAGUCUAGAAAAACCAUCUCCAGCAAACAGCACGGGGAUUUCAUAAUUAAGCAUAAGUUGUGAAUGCGUGUCAGUAGUCUCAGUUUGGAAAAGAACAUUUCCUCAGUCAACGUAAAACAGUUUCAUGACUGUGAAGAAAGAACUGAAUGGGCAUUUAUUAUUUACUCUCUUAGGAAGAUCAGAAAUUAGGUGAUUAAAAUGUUAUUCACUGUUUUAAAGUGAUGAUACUUUUGAUCAAAUUAAUAAAAUUCUCAUUACUCACUAUAACCACAGUGUCUUCUAUAUGCUGAGACAGCUACAACCCUGCUACUCUUUUCACAAUUCAUUCGCACUCUUCGUUUAAUUUAUGUUCUUAUUUCUAAGAAUACUGCAGAAAGUCUAUGGGGAAAACAGAUUUCUUUUAUCUUCCCCAAAAGCUGGAGCAUGGAGUUAUUCAUUUGUUAGCUUUUGGGAAACAGAACAGCAUAGACAAAUGGCAGGAAAUUCAGAAUUCAAGUGCAGAGCAAGUAUCCGAUAAAAUAAAUAAAUGAAUAAAGCAAGCAAACAUGUUAAACCUAUUCUCAAUCUGAGCAGCUCAUUUGACUGGUCUUCUAGUUGCUAUAUUGCAAAGCAAAAGUUAUGCAUCUUGCUCGAGGAACACCACACAAAUUAGAAGAAAUGCCAACACUGGAAAAUGCAGUAGUCUUAGAUUGGUCUGCCAUUUGGGAGGACUGGUUUUCUGAUUACAUGACACUCGUCAUGUUUCUUUUUCUAUACCUGUUUUGUGUGAACGUUACUAACUCGUCUGGGUAAUGUUUUAUCUGGAGCUUUACUGUCCCUGCUGAAUUCCAUUUGCUUCUGUUCCUGUAAUGUACACAGUCUCAAUUUGGAAGACUAAACACUCUAAAAACUUUGGAGUUAUGGUUUUUGACUGCUCCACUACCAAUUUCUGUAUUCCAUAUAAGCUACCAUUUAAUUGACAAGUUAGAUUAUGAAUUAACUUCCCUACCACCUGCCCUGCACGUUUUCUGCAGUUAGCUAAAUGUACUUGUAGGAGGUCUGGCAUUUAUUUCUCUGAAUGACAAAAUGGAAUAGGCAACACUAAUCUCCUACAAGCAGACUUUCCUGCUCCAUUUUCAAUAUUUUGAUGAAUUCCACUGAUUUCUUGGUGUACGUUAGUGUAUAUACACAAAUUGGUUAAAAAAGUUUCUAUUUUAUCUAUUUAUCUAUUAUCUAUUUUAUUUAUUUUUUUCUAUUUAUCUAUUUUAUUUUUACCGAAAGCUUACAAUCAUGUUUCCAUGAUUACCAGUUAUACCUAAUUUUUGUGAUUGGGUGCACCAGACAGUUUGCUGAUGACACCAAGCUGAGUGGUAUAGUUGAUACAAUAGAGGGGAGGGAUGCCAUCCAGAGGAACC
This 29111-nucleotide long non-coding RNA is filed under the name Gallus gallus (chicken). Lineage: Eukaryota; Metazoa; Chordata; Aves; Galliformes; Phasianidae. The record is from RNAcentral.